RNAcentral lists this long non-coding RNA (699 nucleotides) under Chinchilla lanigera (long-tailed chinchilla). Its description in RNAcentral is "lncRNA (ENSCLAG00000027797.1)". Lineage: Eukaryota; Metazoa; Chordata; Mammalia; Rodentia; Chinchillidae. The record is from RNAcentral.
GCAAGGACCACCGAAGGACCCAUUGGUUCUACCCACUUCACAGAGAGCAAAGUUUGGAGUCGUGUGUGGCAGUGCACGCCUGUAGUCCCAGCGCUCAGGAGGCUGAGGCGAGAGGAUCACAGUGAGUUGGAGGCCAGCCUGGGCUACACAGACUCUGUCAAAACAACAAUCACAAUAACAGCAGCAGCAGCAGCAGCAGCAACAACAACAACAAAGCAGAUGUUUGACUUUGACUAACAUCUUUGUGCACUUUCCUAAGCAGGGCUGGGGACAGCCCCUUGCCCAGUCCCAGUUUAUCACCAUGGAAACUAGAGCUGCACGGAUCUCGCUUCUGGUCAGCAGCAGUUGUGAGGUGCUAUAAGCCCUGUAGCCACAUGUGAGUGAGGUCUGGCUGGCUCCGCUGGGCAGUGAUGCACACCUGUAACCCCAGCACUCUGGGAGGCAGAGGCAGGAGGAUCGCAAGUUCUGGCCCAGCUGGGAACAUAGCAACUGAGCAAGGCUAUGUAUCAACAUAAAAAUAUUUAAAAAGGGUAGAGGUUGUAGCUCAGUGUGAAGGCUCUGGGUUCAAGCCCCAGUACUGGGGGAAAAAAAAAGUUCAGACUGUGGACAGGCCACACUGUCCCCUGCCUCCCUGAGCCGGGGCACACUCUGGAAGCCACGGGGCCUCAGUUUCCUCCUCUGGGAGGUGGGAGUAUUCAC